CUACGGGCCGCAGCAGUGGGGAAUAUUGCACAAUGGGCGCAAGCCUGGUGCAGCCAUGCCGCGUGUAUGAAGAAGGCCUUCGGGUUGUAAAGUACUUUCAGCGGGGAGGAAGGGAGUAAAGUUAAUACCUUUGCUCAUUGACGUUACCCGCAGAAGAAGCACCGGCUAACUCCGUGCCAGCAGCCGCGGUAAUACGGAGGGUGCAAGCGUUAAUCGGAAUUACUGGGCGUAAAGCGCACGCAGGCGGUUUGGUAAGUCAGAUGUGAAAUCCCCGGGCUCAACCUGGGAACUGCAUCUGAUACUGGCAAGCUUGAGUCUCGUAGAGGGGGGUAGAAUUCCAGGUGUAGCGGUGAAAUGCGUAGAGAUCUGGAGGAAUACCGGUGGCGAAGGCGGCCCCCUGGACGAAGACUGACGCUCAGGUGCGAAAGCGUGGGGAGCAAACAGGAUUAGAUACCCCCGUAGUC
Molecule: ribosomal RNA, 464 nt
Filed under: uncultured bacterium
Lineage: Bacteria
Description: partial 16S ribosomal RNA
Rfam family: Bacterial small subunit ribosomal RNA
Source: RNAcentral